RNAcentral lists this ribosomal RNA (253 nucleotides) under uncultured bacterium. Its description in RNAcentral is "partial 16S ribosomal RNA". It matches the Rfam family "Bacterial small subunit ribosomal RNA", at positions 524 to 776 of the family's 1533-position model. The record is from RNAcentral.
CACGGGGGGAGCAAGCGUUGUUCGGAAUCACUGGGCGUAAAGGGCGUGUAGGUGGUUGCGUAAGUCUGGCGUGAAAUAUCUCGGCUUAACCGAGGCAGGUCGUCGGAUACUGCGUAACUAGAGGACGGUAGAGGCGUGUGGAAUUCCGGGUGUAGUGGUGAAAUGCGUAGAGAUCCGGAGGAACACCAGUGGCGAAGGCGACACGCUGGGCCGUACCUGACACUGAUGCGCGACAGCAUGGGGAGCAAACAGG